UUCAGUUCACUUUUGAACGUUGACGAAGACGGACGUACUUUCGUGAGCUCUGACUAUUGAUGAAAAGUUUUGAGUUUUACUGACUUGUACUUUGAGAGUAAAAUUGACUUCGCGUUAUAGAAUAGCGACUUGGUACUCAGGUUGUUGAAUGACUGGAUGACUGAAGUGUUAGGUUAUUGUUAUGAGAUAACAACUUGACUUUGACUUGAGUUGUGAAAUGAAAUCAUACUCUUAUGCGAUGUUAACUUUUGAACGUUUAGUAUUGACUGACAACGAAAUUUUGUGAGCGUUAUAUAUGAAAUGUUUGACUUACAUUAAUUUUUUUGAACGACUUGACUUCACUUUAAGUUUUGACAUCGGACUGAUCGGACGUGUUUUUUUAAGCUCUGACUGUUGUGAAUAAUUAAAUUUAUGUUGUGGUGUCAAGCGAUUGACUGUCAGUUGAGGUUCAGAUGUCGAGCUGUGCGGACGUGUUCAUCGAGCUGCUGUCUACAAAAAACGGUGCUGUGGUGAGUACUGUAGAUUGUAGUGCAUAUGUAUAGAAUUCAAUAAAAGAUUAUGACUGAAAACUGCUUUUGAUUCUUAUUGUACAGUUUUAGGGAUUAUAAGUCUAUAGCAACUCUGUCGGUUGGUGUUCAUGAGUGUGAGCUUAAUACAGCAAUGUUUGAGUAGUACAAAAAUGUUUUCGCUUUUGUGGUCGCCAGCUGUCCGUGAUCUGUAAAGUGAAAAUACACAGAGCUAUGAAGCAUACAAAUGUUUCGAAAUUUUAUCAAUGAUUGUAUACUAUGCAUGUUUUGAUUUAGUUCGUUUCAGAUUUGACAUGAGAUGAAAACCUGACAUGAUUUGAACAGAGCUGGGAAACGAAAAGGUAAGUCUGUUUCAUUCCACUAUGAACACUUGUAUUUUGACAAAAGAAGAGAUAAAGUGAGUUACUUUAUCAUCAUGGUUUCAUUUGGUGUAUAACACAUGAACAGAGGUAAACCUAGCUAGCUUUUCGUGUACUCUAUUUUGGAUGAUGAGUAUGUCAGUAACUUUAAUUGUACGGCUAGUAAAGUAUGAACAUGAAUGCUUUGUUCAGAUUUUCAGAUGUGUGCUGGCAGUUCAAGUCUGGCAGCUGGAGUGAACAGUCGUGUUUUCUGGAGCUCCAACAAUAUGCUAGAAGGUAAGUAACUAUGUUUGUUUUGCAUUGCAUGUUUUUAUAUGUUUCAGACUUUCAAGCAGAGAUGUCAUGCUGACUGGAGUUGAGCACAGGGCAGUGACAAAGUGAAAGGUAAGUACUUUUGACUGAAUGUUUGUUCUAUGCAUGUUUUGUUUUAAUACAUUUCAGGAGUGCUUAUCCAGUGAUGAUAUGACAGUUGGAGUGAACAGUGGAGCCAAGCAGUCUUGUUUUUGGAGCUACUCAACAAGCCUUGAAGGUAAGUUUAGAAUUUCUCAAUGUUAGUGAAUUGAAGUACUGUCACUUGCUUUUGGACAGUCGAACAGAACAGACGUGGUUGCGAGAGCUCUCAUAUCUGUUGUGUUAAACUGUUUUUAUGAUAUGUUAUGUUUGUUUGUUUGUUUGUUGGUGUUGUACUAUUUUUCAGAUGCUGUUGUCAGUGAUGGGUUUUCAAGCUGACCUGAACAGAAAAGCAAUCAUAUGGUAAGUACAAAUAGUUGUUAUAUGGGAUGUUUUGUGCAUGCUUUUAUGUUUCAGGUGUACUUGCAGUUAGAGACGAAGACGAUUCAAGAAGAGGACCAUAGGUCAGAAAGUGGAUGGAACAUACAAAGGGUAAGUUGAACCUGUGUUUUUGUUUGAUUUUUACCAUGCAUACUUUGCUUUGCUCUGUUUCAGAUUUCACAUGCAGAAAUUAAACAGGAUUUCAACUGCUGAGACACAAUUCAUCAAAAGUAAGGUAAGUUUUAAUUCAUUGAUUUGAGUUGUACAAUGUGUUCUUUACUUUAUUUCAGAUUCGAGUCACUGGUUUACACAUGGAAGAAGAUUUCCACGUCGGUUACUCAACUCUACAGAAGCAAGGUAAGUCGAUCAAAUUUUUGUUUUCAUUUGUACUGCUGUAAUGUGAUAGUAAACUUAUGCUAUUUUUCAUGUGUGUCAUGUACAGAUGGAUAAUUCAAGUUUGAUCUGUGUUGGUUUAUGUUCAAAAACGUUUUACAUGUAUGUGUGUUUGAAGAUGUUUUGUUUCAGUGGAUGUCCAGAUGGCAAGCAGAACAGACGUGUUUCUUGGAGCUGCCAAACAGUGAGUACAAACGUUUUAUAUUUUUCAGUUGUUUACUCAUAGAAGUCUGUGAAAGAUGAUAACAAGGGUUGAAUUGCACAGUACUUGUGUCUAAAAAUGCUGAUGUGUGACGGUUUACUGAAAAGGGUAAAUGCUAGCCAGUACUAACACUUGAGCAACCGUGGGAUGUCGAACUAACUGAUGAUGUACUAUGAUGGUGAACACUUACUAUGUGUAUCGAAAUGCUUUUGUUGAUAUUUAUUAUAGAUGAUUUGAUAUUGGUUAACAUUUGUUUGCAUGCUGUUAACAUUUCUAUUUCAUUUCAGGGAGCUGUGGUAAGUAUUGUAGUAUUAAUUUGUCUCAAUAAACGAUGAUGAAUGAAAACUGAUGUCGAUUCUUUUUGUACAGUUUUAGGUAUUAGCACUCUAUACAAAACUCUGUCGGUCGGUGUUUGUGAAUGUGAGCUUAAUGUUUGAGUAGAACAAAAAUGUCUUUACUUUUGUGAUCGCCAGUUGUCUGUGAUGUAAAGUGGAAAAAACACAGCUAUGAAGCAUACAAUUGUUUCGAAAUUUUAUCAAUGAUUGUAUACUAUGCAUGUUUUGAUUUAGUUCGUUUCAGAUAUGACAUGACCUGAAGAGUUGACAGUCGAACAGAGCUGAGCAAUGCAGAAAGGUAAGUGUGUUUCAUUUUAGUAUGAACACUUGUAUUUUGUUUUUAUAUGGUAUGUUUUGUGCAUGCUAUGUUUCAGGUGUACUUGUAGUCAGCGACGAAGACGAUUCAAGAAGAGAAACAUUGCUGAGAAAGUGAAUGGGACUUGCAAACAGGGUAAGUGUUACAAUUGUGUUUGUUUGAUUUUUGCCAUGCAUACUUUGCUUUGCUCUGUUUCAGAUUUCACAUGCAGAAAUGGUCUCAUAGCAGUGCCAACAGUGAAUAAGGAUUUCAGCUGCUGUGAAACAACUCAACAGAAAGUAGGUAAGCAUUGAAUGAAUGCACUUGAGUUGUACAAUUUGAUGUGAUGCUUUUCUCUGUUUCAGAUUCAAGUUCCUGGUGUAGACAGAGAAAUGUGUUUGAAGAAGGAAUUCUACUACUGUGAUUCAACUCUACAGAAGCAAGGUAAGUAGAAACACAAUUUUGGUUUAAUUUAACUCAUGUGUUUUGCACUGCAUGCUAUUUUUCAGGUCUCUCAUGCAGUGAUGCAAAAGAAGAAGAUUUCAAGAAAGAAUCACUGCUGCAACUCAGGCCUAUAACAAGGUAAGUGUUUACUAUAUUGUAUACAAAAUGUUUCUCUGUUUUACUCUGUUUGAAGGUUUCAAUUGCAGAGAUGUUGCAGAGAUGUUUUGACAGCUUGUGACAGAAAAGAAAUUCAGCAGCUGUGUCUCGACUCUAGCCACGAGGUAAGUCAAAACAAAUAUACUGGUUUGUAUGUUAUGUUGUUAUGCCCUUCUAUGUUUCAGACUUACAUUGCUGUGACUGUUCCACAGUGGGUCAAAAAAGAGACGAAUACAGGCUUCAAGAAGAAAAUUGGCUGUUGAAAACCUGCACAAAAUAUGAGGUAAGUAAACUAUUCUUUUGGUUUGUUUUGUGCUUUGUUAUGCUUAACUAUUUUUCAGAUUGGAAUGGUGGGUCGUUACAGAGCAGACUUUUGGACAACUGAGAAGUUGAGAAACAGAGAAUGAUUCAAGAUCAGCUAGGUAAGUCUUGAUUAUUGUGCAUUGCUAAAUGUUUUUUUUCAUUCCAGUAUGGCUGUGGUAAGUACACAAACUUUCUAUAAUUUAAUAUUGAACUGUUUUUAUGACCUGUAUUCUGCAUUGUAAAAUGUCUGUUUUUCAUUUCAGUAUCCUGUGGUAAGUACACUAACUUUCUUUAAUUUUCAUAUUGAACUGUUUUGAUGACUUGUAUACUACUAUGCAAUGCCUAAUGUUUUUUUCAUUUCAGUAGCCUGUUGGUAAGUACACUAACUUUCUAUAAUUUCAUAGUGAAUUGUUUUGAUGACCUGUAUUCUGCAUUGUAAAAUGUGUUUCUUUUUCAUUUCAGUAUGGCUGUGGUAAGUACAAUUGCCUUUCAUAUUGAACUGAUUUGAUGACCUGUAUUUUGCAUUGUAAAAUGUGUUUCUUUUUCAUUUCAGUAUGGCUGUGGUAAGUACACAAACUUUCUUUAAUUUUCAUAUUGAACUGUUUUGAUGACUUGUAUUCUACUAUGCAAUGCUUAAUGUAUUUUUUUCAGUAGCCUGUUGGUAAGUACAAUUGCCUUCUUUAAUUUUCAUAUUGAACUGUUUUGAUGAUGUGUAUACUGCUAUGCAAUGCUUAAUGUUUUUUUCAUUUCAGUAUGGCUGUGGUAAGUACACAAACUUUCUUUAAUUUUCAUAUUGAACUGUUUUGAUGACCUGUAUUUUGCAUUGUAAAAUGUGUUUCUUUUUCAUUUCAGUAUGGCUGUGGUAAGUACACUAACUUUCUUUAAUUUUCAUAUUGAACUGUUUUGAUGACUUGUAUUCUGCUAAACAAAAUGUGCUUUUUUCAAUUUCAGGUCAGCAAUGGUAAGUAGAUUGUGUUUCUUUAUGUAUAAUUGUGUAUACAAAGUUUUUUUUUCAUCAUAGCAUGUCUUUUAUAUUUAUGCUUCGUGUAAGUAAAAUGUUCAUAAAUCAUUCUUAUCUUCAAACUAAAAAUGUAUUGUGCUAUGCAAAAUAUCUGUAUGUUUUCAGUUGCCAGAGGUGAGUACCAUUACAGUUGAAAAGUUAGUUUUGUUUAGUUAAAGUUUUGGUUCACAGUUCUGUUUGUUAUUUGGCAAAAUUUACAUGUAUGCAUUGAGUCUUGAUUUCAGCUCGAUUGUGGACUGAAGAAGAUUGCCAGCAGAGGGAUUGGAUACAAAAUACAAACUUUACUGCUAGACGAGUGUUCUCUACUACUUGACGAGUCAGCUUUACUACCAGGCGAGCAGUGACAACAAGGCGCCUUUGUGGAAACAACACAACAAAAAACUGUACUGCUAGACGAGCAGUGACAGAAAGGCGCCUGAACAUGCAACACAAAACAAAAAAUGCCAAUAUACAAACCUUGAUGUGAACACCGAGUAGUCAAUGCAUACGUGUGGCGUACAGCUGCGACAAAACCGUGGGUCCAUCGCACCGAUAACUCGAACAUUGGACCGCGUAUGGACAUCAGUGCAACUUUGUGAAUCCAUGUAACUUUGUGAAUCCAUGUAACAUUGCGAAUAUGUGUCGAUCGAAAAAUGUGUACAUUCUGCACUGAAACGAACUCGGUGUUGCAAGUGGCAAGUGUUGACAGUGUGUAUGUUUAUGUUUAUGUUUUUACAUGAAAACUAAAGGAGAUUGUUCUCCUACCUUUUUUUUCCUUGUUUUAUUGCGCUGGCCAGCAAUAUUGAUGUAUGUGUUUGUGUUUAAACUAUGCAAUACCAAAAUCAAACAAAAAUAAACAUUAACAGUCAUUAACUGUG
Molecule: long non-coding RNA, 5663 nt
Organism: Dreissena polymorpha
Lineage: Eukaryota; Metazoa; Mollusca; Bivalvia; Myida; Dreissenidae
Exons: 5
Source: RefSeq, a predicted model, not a curated record